Molecule: ribosomal RNA, 497 nt
Filed under: uncultured bacterium
Lineage: Bacteria
Description: partial 16S ribosomal RNA
Rfam family: Bacterial small subunit ribosomal RNA
Source: RNAcentral
GACGAACGCUGGCGGCGUGCCUAAUACAUGCAAGUUGAGCGCUGAAGGUUGGUACUUGUACCAACUGGAUGAGCAGCGGACGGGUGAGUAACGCGUGGGGAAUCUGCCUUUGAGCGGGGGACAACAUUUGGAAACGAAUGCUAAUACCGCAUAAAAACUUUAAACACAAGUUUUAAGUUUGAAAGAUGCAAUUGCAUCACUCAAAGAUGAUCCCGCGUUGUAUUAGCUAGUUGGUGAGGUAAAGGCUCACCAAGGCGAUGAUACGUAGCCGACCUGAGAGGGUGAUCGGCCACAUUGGGACUGAGACACGGCCCAAACUCCUACGGGAGGCAGCAGUAGGGAAUCUUCGGCAAUAGACGAAAGUCUGACCGAGCAACGCCGCGUGAGUGAAGAAGGUUUUCGGAUCGUAAAACUCUGUUGGUAGAGAAGAACGUUGGUGAGAGUGGAAAGCUCAUCAAGUGACGGUAACUACCCAGAAAGGGACGGCUAACUACGUG